Heterocephalus glaber (naked mole-rat) is the source of this 384-nucleotide long non-coding RNA. The record is from Ensembl. Lineage: Eukaryota; Metazoa; Chordata; Mammalia; Rodentia; Bathyergidae.
AGGAGCAGAGGGCAAGGUCAGAAGUGCUAACAGGAGAGAUAGGGUGGAAAGGCUACACAUCUUCAGAGGAAGGAGCUAUUUCGAAGUUGCGGCUGGGAAGUUAAGGAUGAUUUCUCAGGGGUGAGGUGGGCGUCAUGAUUAAACGCAGGUGUUGGUCACACUGAAGGAGCGGGGUUUGAACUGGCUGUAGAGGCUGUUAGCUAUGUGACGCUCGGCAAGUCGCUCCCGCCGUCUAAACUCAUCUGGGUGUCUCCGGUGGGAGGAAGGGAGACCGUGCGUGCCCCGCGGGUCUGUGGCAUGAAGACGAGGCACCGAGAGCCCUCAGCACAGGCCAGCAUGAAACAAAAGAAGCAGAAGCUGGAGCCCUGAGGGUUAAAGUAACCA